This 266-nucleotide long non-coding RNA is filed under the name Lathyrus oleraceus (garden pea). Its description in RNAcentral is "Pisum sativum (pea) long non-coding RNA (PSAT_LNC016071)". Lineage: Eukaryota; Viridiplantae; Streptophyta; Magnoliopsida; Fabales; Fabaceae. The record is from RNAcentral.
UUUUUCUUCUCUACACCUUCAUGCAAUACACCCAUAUGGAAGCCUUUUCUCCCCCUUUACCUUAGGUUCUUAGCAAAAUUAUGAAUUGGUGAUGGUUCAUUCUUCCUUCCUUAAGCCCUAGCCUCCCUUACUCUUCCAAACUUUAUUUCACAUACUGACAACUCUUAGGUCUCUAAUCCCUUUUUAUCUCAAAAACCUAAUUUAAUCUUUAGGCAAUUAUACUAAGGUUCAACUUAUCCCUUAAUUCUCAUCACUCCCUUAUUUUC